This 483-nucleotide ribosomal RNA is filed under the name uncultured bacterium. RNAcentral describes it as "bacterial SSU rRNA". It matches the Rfam family "Bacterial small subunit ribosomal RNA", at positions 30 to 509 of the family's 1533-position model. The record is from RNAcentral.
AUUGAACGCUGGCGGCAUGCCUUACACAUGCAAGUCGAACGGUAACGGGCCUUCGGGUGCCGACGAGUGGCGAACGGGUGAGUAAUGCAUCGGAACGUACCUUUCAGUGGGGGAUAACGUAGCGAAAGUUACGCUAAUACCGCAUAUUCUGUGAGCAGGAAAGCAGGGGAUCGCAAGACCUUGCGCUGAUUGAGCGGCCGAUGUCAGAUUAGCUAGUUGGUGAGGUAAAGGCUCACCAAGGCGACGAUCCGUAGCGGGUCUGAGAGGAUGAUCCGCCACACUGGGACUGAGACACGGCCCAGACUCCUACGGGAGGCAGCAGUGGGGAAUUUUGGACAAUGGGCGCAAGCCUGAUCCAGCCAUGCCGCGUGAGUGAAGAAGGCCUUCGGUUGUAAGCUCUUUCGGUACGGAAGAAAUACGUGCAGGCUAAUACCCUUGCGGAGUGACGUACGGUCCAUAAGAAGCACCGGCUAACUACGUGCC